RNAcentral lists this ribosomal RNA (588 nucleotides) under uncultured bacterium. RNAcentral's name for it is "bacterial SSU rRNA". It matches the Rfam family "Bacterial small subunit ribosomal RNA", at positions 338 to 916 of the family's 1533-position model. The record is from RNAcentral.
CCUACGGGAGGCAGCAGUGGGGAAUUGUUCGCAAUGGGCGCAAGCCUGACGACGCAACGCCGCGUGGAGGAUGAAGACCUUCGGGUCGUAAACUCCUUUCGAUCGAGACGAACGGCUUCCGGGUGAACAAUCCGGAAGAGUGACGGUACCGAGAGAAGAAGCCCCGGCUAACUCCGUGCCAGCAGCCGCGGUAAUACGGGGGGGGCAAGCGUUGUUCGGAAUUACUGGGCGUAAAGGGCUCGUAGGCGGCCAACUAAGUCAGACGUGAAAUCCCUCGGCUUAACCGGGGAACUGCGUCUGAUACUGGAUGGCUUGAGGUUGGGAGAGGGAUGCGGAAUUCCAGGUGUAGCGGUGAAAUGCGUAGAUAUCUGGAGGAACACCGGUGGCGAAGGCGGCAUCCUGGACCAAUUCUGACGCUGAGGAGCGAAAGCCAGGGGAGCAAACGGGAUUAGAUACCCCGGUAGUCCUGGCCCUAAACGAUGAAUGCUUGGUGUGGCGGGUAUCGAUCCCUGCCGUGCCGAAGCUAACGCAUUAAGCAUUCCUCCUGGGGAGUACGGUCGCAAGGCUGAAACUCAAAUGAAUUGACGG